Poecilia latipinna (sailfin molly) is the source of this 1042-nucleotide long non-coding RNA. RefSeq lists it as uncharacterized. The record is from RefSeq and is a predicted model, not a curated record. Lineage: Eukaryota; Metazoa; Chordata; Actinopteri; Cyprinodontiformes; Poeciliidae. The transcript is spliced from 2 exons.
AAAAUACUUUAUUGAUCCCAAUCGGAAAUUAAAUAUAUUGACCGUACUAUGGUCAAUAAAAAUGGUAAGAGAUGACUAUGCACACACUCACACAAAAAAAACCUAACAAAAAAUUACCUGACAUAAACAACAGUCCCAUUGUCCCAUAUUUACUAAAAACAUGAGUAAAAACCAUCUCAGCUAUCUGGGAUAAUGCAGAGAGAAAACAAUACUGUAUCUAAAGAAUAAAUGGGAAACAAAACUUAAAAUAACAGUUGAAGAAUUAUCCCAAACGUGAGAAAUACAGCAAAGCAUAAUAAAUUCAUUCAUUCAUUCAUUCAUUCAUUUUGCUGGAAGACUUGAACAAGAUUUCUUAAAUCAAAAGUAAACAGACUUCUGCAUUUUAAGAAUGCUGGGGGAUCAUGUGGAGAAGUAGAAGCCAAUCAGUCACAUAUUUUUGGAGAUGAAGAAAAAUAACUGGGCAUUGUGAGCAAGUUGAAUCAACAUUGAUUAAAAUUCUGGGACAUACGAUCCCAAAUUCUUAAAAUAUGAUGGAUUCUGGAAAUAUGACAAUGGUGAGUAAAAAAAAAGAUAUGCUUCCGUCAAAGGUAAUGAUUAGUUUAAAAAAAAAAAAAAAAAAAAGGGUAAAAUCAAGAAGUUGGUUGAAGCCAGAUGAUUGAAUCAGGAUUUUGGGAAGAAUCUGAGUGAUGGAAAAAAAUGACAAAUAAUCUUUGACUGAAUCAAAAAGUGGGGAAAAUGGAGCCUCCUCCAAAGUGACACACACAAGACUGUAAAUAAAGCUGAAUGAAUAAUAAAUAUCAUUAUCAAUAUACAGACUGUUGAGCACUUUUUUGUUUCUGUUUUCUGUUUGGCUAUUUGCACAAAAAAAAUCUAUAGAAAUUAUGGUGUAUAUAAAAUGAAUCAAGGUUCUUACAGAUUGACAUGCUUUUAUACCAAGGUCAUGACAUGACAAUUUAUUUGCAUGCUUGUUUUUAUUAUUGAUAUAAAUGUUACAGACAGCAUCGACUGUUGUCGGCGUAGUGAUGGAAGAGAAGAGGAGAGA